ACCAAACACGACUGACAAAGGAUGCCCUAAAGGGGCGAUACCAGUUUCCCCAGCACUUCUCCAAAGAGGUGCAAAGCUUAAUAAAGGGUCUUCUCAACCCUGACCCAAGAAUGCGCCCUACUUUAGAGAAAGUAAGGCAGCAUCCAUGGCUUCAGCUUGAAUCUGUCCCUUGUCAUCCUCCUCAACUGCUCCCCAAGGCCACAGAAAGGGCAAUAUUGCACAUUAUGGCUGGGAAGGGGUACAACCGGCUGAAGGUGAUUGAUGCAGUGAAGUGCAGAAAAUACGAUCCUGACAUGGCGCCCUUCCUGCUACUACAGGACAUGGCACUCGAGAAACUCCACUUGAGGUCUGAGGUGAAGCCCACACACAAACGUGAGGCUGAAGAUCUGUUUGAACAGUCCACAAACAAAGAUGAGUAUACAGAUGAAUAUCAGCCAUCUUCAUCUCCUCCCCCUGUAGCAUCUCACAAACCAAGCCGUGCUAUUGCUACUACCAAGGCCUGCCAACCAAGCCCUGCUUCUUCCAUCAAGUCCUACUAUCCAGGACCUGCUACCCCUAAAGCAUCCCGUCAACCAAGCCCUGCUUCUCCCAUCAAGUCCUACGAUACAGGACCUGCUACCCCUAAAGCACCCCGUCAACCAAGCCCUGCUUCUUCCAUCAAGUCCUACUAUACAGGACCUGCUACCCCUAAAGCAUCCCGUCAACCAAGCCCUGCUUCUUCCAUCAAGUCCUACUAUACAGGACCUGCUACCCCUAAAGCAUCCCGUCAACCAAGCCCUGCUUCUCCCAUCAAGUCCUACGAUACAGGACCUGCUACCCCUAAAGCAUCCCGUCAACCAAGCCCUGCUUCUUCCAUCAAGUCCUACCAUUCAGGGCCUGCUACCCCUAAAGCAUCCCGUCAACCAAGCGCUGCUUCUCCCAUCAAGUCCUAUCAUCCAGGACCUGCUACCCCUAAAGCAUCCCGUCAACCAAGCGCUGCUUCUCCCAUCAAGUCCUAUCAUCCAGGACCUGCUACCCCUAAAGCAUCCCGUCAACCAAGCCCUGCUUCUUCCAUCAAGUCCUACUAUACAGGACCUGCUACCCCUAAAGCAUCCCGUCAACCAAGCCCUGCUUCUUCCAUCAAGUCCUACCAUUCAGGGCCUGCUACCCCUAAAGCAUCCCGUCAACCAAGCCCUGCUGUUCCCAUCAAGUCCUGUAAAACCAGCCGUGCCUCUACUGAGUCAUACUGGCAGCCCAACCCUGCCUCUCCCGGUGAGUCCUUCCAGCACAGCCCUGGGACUCCAAAUGCUGCCUUCACUGCUGCCCCAGCCCCUGUCAGCAGUAGGAGGUGGGGCUGGAAAACUGUCAAGAGAACCAUGAGAGACUGCCUAAGGGCCCUGUGCUGCUGCCCCGUAUCGACAUGCAAGUGUCACAAACACAAGGUGGUCGAGGUGCAGAUCCAUGAUCCCUCCUAUGGACGUGGUCAUCCUGACAGCGAGGUCAGCCACGCAAGUGGAAGCCACAGUGAGUUGCCUUGCAGCCCUUUGUGCAGGGAGCUGGAGGGGAGAGGAGGAGUCAAGAUCACUAGUGUAUCCUGUGGGUGAGAAGCAGAGGGAGGGGUUGGUGCACAGCAUGGGAAGGCUGCACAGGCACCAGGAGCUGCGAUCCAGUGAGAGGAAGACAGGAGGAGCAGGGGGGAGAGUCACCUGGCUUGUAUCCUGCUGUCUGAGGGAGGCUGCCCCAGGGACAGGGAGGGCUGGGCACCAUGGACCUGUCCACAACCUCCCAUGAGGAUGCAGGGAGACCUGGGUACCAUGGACCUGACCACACCUGACCACUACCUCCCUUAUUGUGCCUGGCAGUAGGGUGUGUUCUGGGAAGAGCAAGGGGUCAUCUACCAUCACCCCCACACAUCCCCAUGAAGAGACAUGGACCCAAACCCUGGUCUUCUGAAUGCUGUCCCCAAGUCUGUAUCUGCAAGCCUUUGAAAGGAGCCCAUUGAAGUCUUGUGUCAGUAAACAGAGACUCAUAUCCAGCCUUGAGGGCACACAGGCAUGCGUGUUGUGGGGACAGAGUUUGGAACAAGAGAAAUCUCCACACGUGAGGGUGUUGCUUGCCACCGUGGGAACAGUGACAUUUGGUAAAGAGAAGACAUUCGUGGCUUCCAAACUGUGGUCUGUGUUUGCAGCACCUGGGGCAGGAUCUGAACCAGAGAGUGUUCAGGGCAAGUUGGAACAUGCACAUAACACAUGUCAUGGUGCAUCUUGCUUCUGCAUUUUCUCAUUUUCUAUCUUUGUACUUGUUUUCUGCCUUGAGGCUUGUAAAUUGCUUAUGGUCAGUAGUUUAUUACUAGUAUUGGGACCUCUUAAGGAAAUGACUAUUUUCAGAGAUGUUCUGUAGGGGUAGCUGGCUUUGGAUUCUGUCAUCCCAAGAUUUUGCCUCUUCUUUUCUUAAAGGAACUUUUUUUUUUUUUUCAAAACGAGAAACUAUGGAAUUUCUUUUUUGGUACUGGGAGUCAAACUCAGGGUCUUGUGUUUGCCAGGCAGGAGCUGUGCCACUGAGCUCCAUCCCCAGCCCUGCCUCUUCAGUUCGGUAGGAAUGAAGGGCUGCUGCCUGUUUGGCCCAGCACCCAGUUCUUAUAGUUCUGUAGUCCAGAACUACAGGAUUGUUUGUGCCCCUCAGACAACUGAGGUGGUGGUGUUCAAAGAAGAUCAGUUGAUGCCAAUAACUCUGUCACUUUGGCUAACAUAGUACAAUCAGCUAUAACAACUGCAACCAACACAGCCAGGAAAUGAUAAACUCUUAUGACCAAGGACAUGCCUGCUUUAAUCACAGGUAUGAGAUUUGUAGUUACACAGCCAACUAUAAGGCAAAGCAGAAUAUUAUAUACAGUAAGUAUAUACUCAGUAGAGCAAUUUGCCCUAAAGGGAGAAAAUUUAUUAGGGAUACCAAGAAAAUAUAGAAAAAUAAAAGAGAGAUAAGAAGACUGAAGUACAAAGGGAGAUUACCAGGCCUUAGAAAACGAGUGAUAAAACAGGAGCAAAAAGCAGGACCAAAAAAGAGAGAAAAAUACAAAAGCUGAGAACAAUGUACACAGGCAGGAAAAACAAAACACAAAGACAAAAAGUUCUCUGACUUUAAACCUGUGGCAGGCCUCUGCGGUCUGUGGUCUUAUUGCAGUGUCCAGUGCAGAGAAGACAGUGGAGGCACUCCACGCCCACUGCUUGCUGUCAGAUCCCAGCAAGCCUGCAGUAGUGUUUCGGGGCCCUGAGUUAGCUAGAAAUACUAUAGGCAGGGAGACAGGGCUAGGUCCUGAAGGAGCCAGUGCAGGAGCUCAGAUACCUUGCAGCUAAGGGGAGACAGGCACCUCCUGCUGUGGGCCAAACCUCAAGACAAAAGAUCAAACAAAUACAUCCAUAAGGACUGAUGUUCUAAAUAGCUUCUUAGCACCCCGCAGAAGUCAGGAGUCACCAUUCCAACCCCCUAGGGAAGAUUCACUGCUCUCUAAGAAU
Long non-coding RNA from Cavia porcellus (domestic guinea pig), 3491 nucleotides. The record is from Ensembl. NCBI's taxonomy places the organism in Eukaryota, Metazoa, Chordata, Mammalia, Rodentia, Caviidae.